This 258-nucleotide ribosomal RNA is filed under the name uncultured bacterium. RNAcentral describes it as "partial small subunit ribosomal RNA". It matches the Rfam family "Bacterial small subunit ribosomal RNA", at positions 26 to 285 of the family's 1533-position model. The record is from RNAcentral.
AGGACGAACGCUGGCGGCGUGCUUAACACAUGCAAGUCGAACGGAAAGGCCCGCUUGCGGGUACUCGAGUGGCGAACGGGUGAGUAACACGUGGGCAACCUGCCCCUGGCUCUGGGAUAACUCUUCGAAAGGGGAGCUAAUACCGGAUGAUGACCUUCCUUCGCAUGUUGGUUGGUUUAAAGUUUUUCGGCUAGGGAUGAGCUCGCGGCCUAUCAGCUUGUUGGUUGGGGUAACGGCCCACCAAGGCGACGACGGGUA